GACGAACGCUGGCGGCGUGCUUAACACAUGCAAGUCGAACGGAAAGGCCCUGCUUUUGUGGGGUGCUCGAGUGGCGAACGGGUGAGUAACACGUGUGUAACCUGCCCUUGACUUUGGGAUAACUUCAGGCAACUGGGGCUAAUACCGGAUAGGAGCUCCUGCUGCAUGGUGGGGGUUGGAAAGUUUCGGCGGUUGGGGAUGGGCUCGCGGCUUAUCAGCUUGUUGGUGGGGUAGUGGCUUACCAAGGCUUUGACGGGUAGCCGGCCUGAGAGGGUGACCGGCCACAUUGGGACUGAGAUACGGCCCAGACUCCUACGGGAGGCAGCAGUGGGGAAGAUUGCACAAUGGGCGGAAGCCUGAUGCAGCAACGCCGCGUGCGGGAUGACGGCCUUCGGGUUGUAAACCGCUUUCGCCUGUGACGAAGCGUGAGUGACGGUAAUGGGUAAAGAAGCACCGGCUAACUACGUG
RNAcentral lists this ribosomal RNA (468 nucleotides) under uncultured bacterium. RNAcentral describes it as "partial 16S ribosomal RNA". It matches the Rfam family "Bacterial small subunit ribosomal RNA", at positions 28 to 507 of the family's 1533-position model. The record is from RNAcentral.